Daucus carota subsp. sativus is the source of this 871-nucleotide long non-coding RNA. RefSeq lists it as uncharacterized. The transcript is spliced from 2 exons. Lineage: Eukaryota; Viridiplantae; Streptophyta; Magnoliopsida; Apiales; Apiaceae. The record is from RefSeq and is a predicted model, not a curated record.
AAGAAAAAAACCUCAAAAUUGGAUACAGAUUAGACAGAGAAAAAGAGGGGGGAGAGGGGUGGGAGAGAGAGAGAGAGAGAGAUAGAUAGAGGGGGGAGAGAGAUAGAGGGUGGGUCUGCAGCCCACCCCAGCCACCCCCUACUUCCGCCCCUGGCUGGUGGUUGGUUAGCGGCAAAUCCAUCAAACAGUAUGAAUGCUGGAAAUGAUAAACAAAGUAAACUAGCUGCGUCUAAUUCGACCAUGGUUAAAGAAUUGCUAGUUCUAGUUCUAUAAAGCUUAGUGGAUCGUCAAGGUGACCUGCUCGUUCUAGCAGGCAUGAACCCCCCACUUGCUGUGGCAGAUUCUAGAGAUACUCGCCGGCUCUCACUUGGUCAUCAGAUCAUAAGUGUUCUUCUUCAAGCAGACAUGGUUCUGGCAUGUUGAACUUUGAUAUGGCUCUCAAAGGUAUUAAAGGCCUGCAUUUUAACGAAGACAAGUUGCACUAGCCGCGGCUUUGACAUGGUCAGUUUACCAGCUGUGAAUUUAAUUACCAUACAUCUGGGAGGAAUUUACUGUCUACUACGUUUAUUAGCAUUAGCCGGCCUCUUCAAGUUCCCCGGAUAUAGCAUUGCACAUUGCAGUAACAAAUGAUUACAUAGUCCAAGCUCAAUUCAGGCAAGUCUAUCAGCUUAACCAUAAUUUCUUUUCUGUUGCUUAGUUCUGGCUGCCCACUUCUGUUACCUUAGUCCAGCAUAAAUCAUAUUGGUUCUGUAAUAUGGUAACUGAGACCACUACAUGUAGUUUUUCGACCCAUCAAGAAGCAAGCAUAUUACUUAGUCAUGUGCCUAAUGAUAUAUUGCUUAUUUACCAGAAACAAGCAUUGCGUAUCUAA